UACGUAGGGUGCAAGCGUUGUCCGGAAUUAUUGGGCGUAAAGAGCUCGUAGGCGGUUUGUUGUGUCGGCUGUGAAAUCCCGAGGCUCAACCUCGGGUCUGCAGUCGAUACGAGCAAACUAGAGUGUUGCAGGGGAGACUGGAAUUCCUGGUGUAGCGGUGGAAUGCGCAGAUAUCAGGAGGAACACCGGUGGCGAAGGCGGGUCUCUGGGCCGAUACUGACGCUGAGGAGCGAAAGCGUGGGGAGCGAACAGG
Molecule: ribosomal RNA, 253 nt
Filed under: uncultured bacterium
Lineage: Bacteria
Description: partial 16S ribosomal RNA
Rfam family: Bacterial small subunit ribosomal RNA
Source: RNAcentral